GCACAAAUCCAAAGUCCAAAAACCAGGCAGCACAGCUGAGCGGAAGGCUAAAGAUCAACACUGGCAGCAACAGGUAAACGAACGGACAGCUGGACAGCUGGACAGCUGGACAGCUAGACAGAAACAACAGACUGGUGUGGCACAUACGACAAGGACCCGACGAGGAACAAGGAACACAGGUUUGCCCAACGUGAAUCUUUUGGCGAUGCCGACACCUAUGAACGGUGUGAUGUAAACAAGGCACAAAGGCAGAGGAGAAACGCCAAAGGCAGCGCCGUCAAAGCCUGAUCCUCGCCUUCUGCUGAUUUUGACAUCAAACUGUGAGAAAUCUGUUUAGGACAUUUCGCAUCUUUCUCACACCACCUUAUCGACAUUUUGAGGUUGGGAUUUUGAGCAUCAUUAUGCAAAAGACAAAAAAACAAAACACACCAUCAAAUUCUAGUUCACGUUUUGAACCUACCAGUAAAAGAAUUAAAUGGUUAAAAAAAAUUGUGCAACAUCCCAACACCUGUAAAUCCAAAUGGAUCUGGCUGUGCUCUGUGGACAUAUAUUUUUAUGUUUAAGUUUAUCACCUUAUAAGAGAACCUCAAGUUAUAAGAGCUAAUGUUAUAAGGUCUUAUAACAUUAGUUAAUGUUGUAAAAGCCACAAUAAAAAAAAGUUGAAGAGCAUAUUUUUAGAGGAGGAAAGCAGACAUAAGCUCACAUAAUCCAGUUAUCAUAGUUACAAAAUUAAAAAUAAAACAAAAUAAGGAAAAUAAUUCCUUAUC
Xiphophorus maculatus (southern platyfish) is the source of this 767-nucleotide long non-coding RNA. RefSeq lists it as uncharacterized. Lineage: Eukaryota; Metazoa; Chordata; Actinopteri; Cyprinodontiformes; Poeciliidae. The transcript has 3 exons. The record is from RefSeq and is a predicted model, not a curated record.